GACAACGCUGGCGGCGUGCUUACACCUGCAGUCAAACGAUGAAGCUGGAGCUUGCUCCGGUGGAUUAGUGGCGAACGGGUGAGUAACACGUGAGAAAUCUGCCCUUGACUCUGGGAUAACUGCGGGAAACUGUAGCUAAUACCGGAUACUUUCCCUGGUGGGCAUCCACUGGGGAAGAAAGAAUUUCGGUCAAGGAUGAUCUCGCGGCCUAUCAGCUAGUUGGUGAGGUAACGGCUCACCAAGGCGACGACGGGUAGCCGGCCUGAGAGGGUGACCGGUCACACUGGGACUGAGACACGGCCCAGACUCCUACGGGAGUGCAGCAGUGGGGAAUAUUGCACAAUGGGCGCAAGCCUGAUGCAGCAACGCCGCGUGAGGGAUGACGGCCUUCGGGUUGUAAACCUCUUUUAGCAGGGAAGAAGCGAAAGUGACGGUACCUGCAGAAAAAGCACCGGCUAACUACGUGCCAGCAGACCGCGGUAAUACGUAGGGUGCAAGCGUUGUCCGGAAUUAUUGGGCGUAAAGAGCUCGUAGGCGGUUUGUCACGUCUGCUGUGAAAAUCCAAGGUUCAACCUUGGACUUGCAGUCGGGUACGGGCAGGCUAGAGUGCGGUCAGGGGGAGAUGGGAAUUCCUGGUGUAGCGGUGGAAUGCGCAGAUAUCAGGGACGGAACACCAAUGGGCGAAAGGCACAUCUCUGGGGCCGUAACUGAACGCUGAGGAGCGAAAGCGUGGGGAGCGAACAGGAUUAAAUACCCUGCUAGUCCACGCCGUAAAACCGGUGGGGGUGGCUUACGCUGUGGGCCACCAUUCCACGUUGGGUCCGUGACAAAAGUUUACACACUUUAAGCACCGACUGGGAAUACGGGCCGACAGGUAACACUCAAGGAUU
This 890-nucleotide ribosomal RNA is filed under the name uncultured Actinomycetes bacterium. RNAcentral describes it as "bacterial SSU rRNA". It matches the Rfam family "Bacterial small subunit ribosomal RNA", at positions 28 to 910 of the family's 1533-position model. The record is from RNAcentral. Lineage: Bacteria; Bacillati; Actinomycetota; Actinomycetes.